This 603-nucleotide ribosomal RNA is filed under the name uncultured Actinomycetes bacterium. Its description in RNAcentral is "SSU rRNA". It matches the Rfam family "Bacterial small subunit ribosomal RNA", at positions 301 to 915 of the family's 1533-position model. The record is from RNAcentral. Lineage: Bacteria; Bacillati; Actinomycetota; Actinomycetes.
CGACCGGCCACACUGGGACUGAGACACGGCCCAGACUCCUGCGGGAGGCAGCAGUGGGGAAUAUUGCGCAAUGGGCGAAAGCCUGACGCAGCGACGCCGCGUGGGGGAUGAAGGCCUUCGGGUUGUAAACCCCUUUCAGCAGGGACGAAGCGAGAGUGACGGUACCUGCAGAAGAAGCGCCGGCUAACUACGUGCCAGCAGCCGCGGUAACACGUAGGGCGCAAGCGUUGUCCGGAAUUAUUGGGCGUAAAGAGCUCGUAGGCGGUCUGUUGCGUCUGCUGUGAAAACCCGGGGCUUAACCCCUGGCUUGCAGUGGAUACGGACAGACUAGAGGUAGGUAGGGGAGAAUGGAAUUCCCGGUGUAGCGGUGAAAUGCGCAGAUAUCGGGAGGAACACCGGUGGCGAAGGCGGUUCUCUGGGCCUUACCUGACGCUGAGGGGCGAAAGCGUGGGGAGCGAACAGGAUUAGAUACCCUGGUAGUCCACGCUGUAAACGUUGGGCGCUAGGUGUGGGGUCCUUCCACGGAUUCCGUGCCGCAGCUAACGCAUUAAGCGCCCCGCCUGGGGAGUACGGCCGCAAGGCUAAAACUCAAAGGAAUUGACG